RNAcentral lists this long non-coding RNA (1077 nucleotides) under Rattus norvegicus (Norway rat). Its description in RNAcentral is "long non-coding RNA NONRATT033707". Lineage: Eukaryota; Metazoa; Chordata; Mammalia; Rodentia; Muridae. The record is from RNAcentral.
AAGUGGUAGCGACAAAGCUCGGUGGGCGGCGGGCGGUGUAGUGCAGGGAGCGCCGGGCGGCGGGCGGCAGGGAGGGGCGGAGCGCAGGAGGUGGAGGCGGGAGCAGAGCUGCUCGGCCGUGCGCGGAGACGCGCGGAGCCGGCGGGCCAAGCUUGACGGGCCCCUCGCCGCUCCUCCUCUCCCCUCCCUGCCACCAUCCUGCUCGUUCUCCUCCGGACGCGGCUGGGCUCCGUGUGGCGCCACCGUGCCGCCAGCAGUGCCCGUUCGCCCGAGGCGCGUGGGGCGCCCCCGCAGCCCCGCGAAUGCUGCUGCUAGGGGUGGUGGGAGCAGCCGUGGGACGCGUGGCCGGGAGCGGGGGUGACAGCCUGGGAUUCCAGGGUCUUCUCUUCCUUGUCCUCCUCCUCUCCUCUCUAUUCCCAGUGUGGCCGUGGCUGACACUAAAGACUUUGUAGCCAUCAACCAGAGUGCAGUUUCGAUGGAAAAUGAAGAUGCUAGAAAAGGUACUUGACAAAUCAUUUCUUCCUCCCUUCCCUUGUUUGCUUUUAAAAUCUGUAUCUGGUACACAGGAGCUGCAGUGUAAGUUGAAUGCUUUUCCCAUUGUUGAGAAUGUAAGCUUGAUUGGCUAAGUAGGACUUUAAAUCUUAAAAUAGGUGUUUCUUGUGGAUGUCGUAAUCUGUUGUGCGAUUGGAGAACCGUGGCAUAUGUAGGAAAUAUGGUGAGAGGCAUGGUUAACUUGGCCCGUUUCAUUCUAGAGGGAUAGUUGGUGGAAUGCGUUUUCUGACACACUGAAGUGUGUAACUGCAGAGGAGUUUAUGCUAAUUGGAUCUUGAGGAAAGCAGUUGUGUUUUUUUUCUGAUGGUAUGAAAAAUUAUCCUCUUGUCUUUUAUAGAUUUCAGAAAGUCAGAUUUUUUUUAUAAGACAAUAUUAAGCCCAUUCAUAUAGCGGUUUCUAUUUAGAAAUCUCUGUAAGUAAAUCUCAGAGUUACUGUACAUAUCCGAGCUAUUUUCAGAGUAUUACCAGAUUUAGCAGAGUAGCCUGAAGUAGGUGGAUACUUGGCUGUUGGUUUCCUUUCUCGGU